AGAGUUUGAUCCUGGCUCAGAAUCAACGCUGGCGGCGUGCCUAACACAUGCAAGUCGAACGAGAAAGUGGAGCAAUCCAUGAGUAAAGUGGCGCACGGGUGAGUAACACGUGACUAACCUACCCUUGAGUGGGGAAUAACCUAGAGAAAUCUGGGCUAAUACCGCAUAACACCUACGGGUCAAAGGAGCAAUUCGCUUAAGGAGGGGGUCGCGGCAGAUUAGCUAGUUGGCGGGGUAAUGGCCCACCAAGGCGGUGAUCUGUAUCCGGCCUGAGAGGGCGCACGGACACACUGGAACUGAAACACGGUCCAGACUCCUACGGGAGGCAGCAGUGGGGAAUUUUGCGCAAUGGGGGAAACCCUGACGCAGCAACGCCGCGUGGAGGAUGAAGUCCCUUGGGACGUAAACUCCUUUCGAUCGGGACGAUUAUGACGGUACCGAGAGAAGAAGCCCCGGCUAACUUCGUGCCAGCAGCCGCGGUAAUACGAGGGGGGCGAGCGUUGUUCGGAAUUAUUGGGCGUAAAGGGUGCGUAGGCGGUUCGGUAGUCUUAUGUGAAAUCUUCGGGCUCAACUCGAAGUCUGCAUGAGAAACUGCCGGGCUUGAGUGUGGGAGAGGUGAGUGGAAUUUCCGGUGUAGCGGUGAAAUGCGUAGAUAUCGGAAGGAACACCUGUGGCGAAAGCGGCUCACUGGACCACAACUGACGCUGAUGCACGAAAGCUAGGGGAGCAAACAGGAUUAGAUACCCCCGUAGUCC
This 755-nucleotide ribosomal RNA is filed under the name uncultured bacterium. RNAcentral describes it as "bacterial SSU rRNA". It matches the Rfam family "Bacterial small subunit ribosomal RNA", at positions 8 to 796 of the family's 1533-position model. The record is from RNAcentral.